This 375-nucleotide RNase P RNA is filed under the name Tannerella sp. Its description in RNAcentral is "RNase P RNA component class A". It matches the Rfam family "Bacterial RNase P class A". From Rfam's summary of the family: Ribonuclease P (RNase P) is a ubiquitous endoribonuclease, found in archaea, bacteria and eukarya as well as chloroplasts and mitochondria. Its best characterised activity is the generation of mature 5'-ends of tRNAs by cleaving the 5'-leader elements of precursor-tRNAs. The record is from RNAcentral. Lineage: Bacteria; Pseudomonadati; Bacteroidota; Bacteroidia; Bacteroidales; Tannerellaceae.
GCAGCAGGCCGGUCUGCCGCCCGUUUCGUGACUGGGACGGGAGGAAAGUCCGGGCAACACAGGGCGCCAUCCUUCCUAACGGGAAGCUGUUCGCGAGGGCAGAGUAGUGUAACAGAAAAUAACCGCCGCGUCCGCGUGUCGCGGUAAGGGUGAAAAGGCGAGGUAAAAGCUCACCGUUCGCAUGGCAACAUGCGAAGCCGUACGCCUGAUGGGUUGCAAGGUCAUGUAUACCGGCGAAUAAGGGUUGCCCGCCCGAUGCCGGGGGGUAGACCGCAGGAGCUUGCCGGCGACGACAAGCCGAGAUGAAUGGCAGACGCUUCUCCGCCUGCAAAGGCGCGAGUGGUACAGAACCCGGCUUACAGGCCGGCUGCAUUU